CAGCGAAAUGAAAAUAAGGAGGUUUAAUGGAGGCAGUGGGUUGAGCCAAAUGGAGUAUGGGAGAAAGUUUGAAGAGAAACAAAGACGUUCUCUGAUGCAAUGGUGAUAAGGUGAAAUGGCUAUGCAAAGAGGUCCUAGCGUGAUUUCACUAGGGAAGGUGGCUAGAGGAGAUUGAGAUUCACUCUCCUAGCCGUGACCUUGAAGAAGAGGUAUUCUGGAAAUUAUUCAACAGAAAAACUCUAAUUUCAUUCAAAGAUGCCAGCCUAUGUUGAUACAAGCAACUUUAUAAGUAAAUGUCUAGCCUAUGGACGG
Molecule: long non-coding RNA, 312 nt
Filed under: Vigna radiata
Lineage: Eukaryota; Viridiplantae; Streptophyta; Magnoliopsida; Fabales; Fabaceae
Description: long non-coding RNA (VRAD_LNC015564)
Source: RNAcentral